This 195-nucleotide ribosomal RNA is filed under the name uncultured bacterium. RNAcentral's name for it is "partial 16S ribosomal RNA". It matches the Rfam family "Bacterial small subunit ribosomal RNA", at positions 338 to 525 of the family's 1533-position model. The record is from RNAcentral. RNAcentral also lists the same sequence under 1 other name.
UCUACGGGAGGCAGCAGUAGGGAAUCUUCCACAAUGGACGAAAGUCUGAUGGAGCAAUGCCGCGUGAGUGAAGAAGGUUUUCGGAUCGUAAAACUCUGUUGUUGAAGAAGAACAUAUGUGAGAGUAACUGUUCACGUACUGACGGUAUUCAACCAGAAAGCCACGGCUAACUACGUGCCAGCAGCCGCGGUAAUA